Molecule: long non-coding RNA, 1270 nt
Organism: Oreochromis aureus
Lineage: Eukaryota; Metazoa; Chordata; Actinopteri; Cichliformes; Cichlidae
Source: Ensembl
GCAUAUUCAAGUUCAGAUUGUGCAGUGCUUAGUGAAACUGCAAAAACCCAAGUGCUACAUCUCAAUCUCGCAAGCCUCAAUUAGCAUAUUAAACGUUAAAGUUCAUGACAGUAUAGUUAUAAAAAUAAAGAACAGCAGGGUGAGGAAUACGCCAGCUCAAUGGAUGUCAUGGAGGAAAACAUGUCACCAAAGAAGAUGCUUGAGAAAAUUGCAGAGCUGGAAUACAGUCAGAGUCUGCUGAGAGAUCAAAAUGCUGACAUGAGGAAAUUGCUGGAUGCCGCAGAUGAUGACAUGGCAGCGCUGGGCUCAGAGAAUAAGUCCCUCAGAAAAGUAGUUGAAACCAUGGAGAACUUUUUCCAAGACUUGCAACAGACUGAAGCAGAGCCUUGCAUAGCUCUGGCAGAUGACUUCGAGGCACAUAGAUGGAAUGUAGAAAAGAUCCAUGAAUUGGAGAAGGAAUCCACCGUAAUGAAGGAACAAUAUGAGAAACUAACUGCAAAGUUUCAAAGGGAAGAGGACCAGUCAAAACUGGAGCACAAGGAUGAGGUUAUUCAUCAGGCAAACUUGCAGUUGAAGCAAUUACAUGAAACUGUGGAAGAGUGCUUCAACAACAUAAAGGACCUCAGGCAGACAACGCAGGAGCUGAGUAAGCAGAUGGAGGACAGACGAGAUGAGGCCACAUUUGACCUGAUGAGAGAGAAGGAACGAGUGCCCGACCGCCCUCUGUCCUUUGCAGAGGAAAUUAAACUGCUGGCCUCAACAGCUGAAGUGAAUGACGGCAUGACAAACUCCACAAAUCUUGGAAAUUGUCUACAGGAGGAACCUGAGACUGAGGAGCUGCUGAAACCUCAUCUUCUCACAGUUAACCUUCAAUCUAAAAGGUACUCAGAUAGGAUUUUGUACGUGAUGGAGUCAUCCUGUUUCAUUUUCUCACUCAUUAUUCUCACUCUUGCUUCUCACUUGUGCAAAGCUGCCCAGGUACUUUGGAGGCAGCGAUCUGGAGAGUAGGUUUCUUUAUGCUGUGCAUCUUCAUUCUCAUGAUUUUAGCCAUUGUGGCUUCAGGAUGCUUUGUAGGAACAUCUGACUUCUCUUCCAUCACCACUUUGUGGGCUAGCGCCCACCUGAUGUUACAGCCCUACUUGAGUGUACAGUAUGGGGCCUUGCCUCCCAUUUGAGCUUAACUCUCUCUCUCUGGUCUGUUCUUGUAUUUCUGUUCUUGUAUUUUUUGUAAACAUGAGUUCAGAAAACAAACAAAUAAAACUUCAGCCUC